RNAcentral lists this ribosomal RNA (500 nucleotides) under uncultured bacterium. RNAcentral's name for it is "partial 16S ribosomal RNA". It matches the Rfam family "Bacterial small subunit ribosomal RNA", at positions 30 to 523 of the family's 1533-position model. The record is from RNAcentral.
AUUGAACGCUGGCGGCAUGCCUUACACAUGCAAGUCGAACGGUAACGGGUCCUUCGGGAUGCCGACGAGUGGCGAACGGGUGAGUAAUAUAUCGGAACGUGCCCAGUAGUGGGGGAUAACUGCUCGAAAGAGCAGCUAAUACCGCAUACGACCUGAGGGUGAAAGGGGGGGAUCGCAAGACCUCUCGCUAUUGGAGCGGCCGAUAUCAGAUUAGCUAGUUGGUGGGGUAAAGGCCUACCAAGGCAACGAUCUGUAGUUGGUCUGAGAGGACGACCAGCCACACUGGGAAUGGGACACGGCCCAGACUCCUACGGGAGGCAGCAGUGGGGAAUUUUGGACAAUGGGCGCAAGCCUGAUCCAGCAAUGCCGCGUGCAGGAAGAAGGCCUUCGGGUUGUAAACUGCUUUUGUCAGGGAAGAAAUCUUCUGGGCUAAUACCCCGGGAGGAUGACGGUACCUGAAGAAUAAGCACCGGCUAACUACGUGCCAGCCGCCGCUGUAA